GACGAACGCUGGCGGCGUGCCUAAUGCAUGCGAGUCGAGCGAAGUUUUUCUGGUGCUUGCACUAGAAAAACUUAGCGGCGAACGGGUGAGUAACACGUAAAGAACCUGCCUCAUAGACUGGGACAACUAUUGGAAACGAUAGCUAAUACCGGAUAACAGUAUUUCUCGCAUGAGAGAUAUUUAAAAGUUGGUUAUGCUAACACUAUGAGAUGGCUUUGCGGUGCAUUAGCUAGUUGGUGGGGUAAAGGCCCACCAAGGCGACGAUGCAUAGCCGACCUGAGAGGGUGAUCGGCCACACUGGGACUGAGACACGGCCCAGACUCCUACGGGAGGCAGCAGUAGGGAAUCUUCCGCAAUGGGCGAAAGCCUGACGGAGCAACGCCGCGUGAGUGAAGAAGGAUUUCGGUUCGUAAAGCUCUGUUGUUAGGGAAGAAUGGAUAUGUAGUAACUAUACAUGUAAGAGACGGUACCUAACCAGAAAGCCACGGCUAACUACGUG
This 499-nucleotide ribosomal RNA is filed under the name uncultured bacterium. Its description in RNAcentral is "partial 16S ribosomal RNA". It matches the Rfam family "Bacterial small subunit ribosomal RNA", at positions 28 to 507 of the family's 1533-position model. The record is from RNAcentral.